GUAGCUCAGUGGUACAGCACUUGCCUGGAAAGCACAAGGCCCUGGGUUCAAUUCCUGGUACA
This 62-nucleotide transfer RNA is filed under the name Cavia porcellus (domestic guinea pig). It matches the Rfam family "tRNA". Rfam says of the family: Transfer RNA (tRNA) molecules are approximately 80 nucleotides in length. Lineage: Eukaryota; Metazoa; Chordata; Mammalia; Rodentia; Caviidae. The record is from Rfam by way of RNAcentral.